RNAcentral lists this transfer RNA (63 nucleotides) under Notocotylus intestinalis. Its description in RNAcentral is "tRNA-His". The record is from RNAcentral. Lineage: Eukaryota; Metazoa; Platyhelminthes; Trematoda; Plagiorchiida; Notocotylidae.
UCUUUUAUAGGUUAAGUUUAAACUGUUAGUUUGUGGAGCUAAAGAUUUAUUUUUUAUAAAGGA